This 330-nucleotide ribosomal RNA is filed under the name uncultured bacterium. RNAcentral describes it as "bacterial SSU rRNA". It matches the Rfam family "Bacterial small subunit ribosomal RNA", at positions 8 to 334 of the family's 1533-position model. The record is from RNAcentral.
AGAGUUUGAUCAUGGCUCAGGACGAACGCUGGCGGCGCGCCUAACACAUGCAAGUCGAACGAGCGAGAGAGAGCUUGCUUUCUCGAGCGAGUGGCGAACGGGUGAGUAACACGUGAGCAACCUGGCUCUAAGAGGGGGACAACAGUUGGAAACGACUGCUAAUACCGCAUAACGUAUCGGGAUGGCAUCUUUCUGAUACCAAAGAUUUUAUCGCUUAGAGAUGGGCUCGCGUCUGAUUAGAUAGUUGGCGGGGUAACGGCCCACCAAGUCGACGAUCAGUAGCCGGACUGAGAGGUUGAACGGCCACAUUGGGACUGAGACACGGCCCAG